This 492-nucleotide ribosomal RNA is filed under the name uncultured bacterium. RNAcentral describes it as "partial 16S ribosomal RNA". It matches the Rfam family "Bacterial small subunit ribosomal RNA", at positions 29 to 507 of the family's 1533-position model. The record is from RNAcentral.
AGUGAACGCUGGCGGUAGGCCUAACACAUGCAAGUCGAACGGCAGCACAGUAAGUUCUUGCUCUUACGGGUGGCGAGUGGCGGACGUGUGAGGUAUACAUCGGACUCUACUUUUUCGUGUGGGAUUACGUAGGUAAACUUACUCUAAUACCGCAUACGACCUACGGUUGAAUGCAGGGGAUCUUCUUACCUUGCGCGUUUGAAUGAGCCGAUGUCGGAUUAUCUAGUUGGCGGGGUAAAUGCCCACCUAGGCGGCGAUCCGUAGCUGGUCUGAGAGGAUGAGCAGGCAAAAGGGGACGGAGACACGGACCAGACUCCAAAGGGAGGCAGCAGUGGGGAAGAUUGGACAAGGGGCGAAAGCCUGAUAAAGCGAGACCGCGUGAGUGAAGAAGGCCUUCGGGGUGUAAAGCCCUUUUGUGGGGAAAGAAAAGCAGGAGGUUAAUAAAGCGAUGUUGUGACGGUACCCAAAGAAUAAGCACCGGCUAACUACGUG